GAUGAAGAACGCAGCAAAAUGCGAUAAGUAAUGUGAAUUGCAGAAUUCAGUGAAUCAUCGAAUCUUUGAACGCACAUUGCGCCCGCCAGUAUUCUGGCGGGCAUGCCUGUUCGAGCGUCAUUUCAACCCUCAAGCACAGCUUGGUGUUGGGACUCGCGUUAAUUCGCGUUCCUCAAAUUGAUUGGCGGUCACGUCGAGCUUCCAUAGCGUAGUAGUAAAACCCUCGUUACUGGUAAUCGUCGCGGCCACGCCGUUAAACCCCAACUUCUGAAUGUUGACCUCGGAUCAGGUAGGAAUACCCGCUGAACUUAAGCAUAUCAAUAAGCCGAGGA
This 332-nucleotide unclassified non-coding RNA is filed under the name soil metagenome. RNAcentral describes it as "partial contains 5.8S ribosomal RNA, internal transcribed spacer 2, and large subunit ribosomal RNA". The stretch from base 1 to 120 matches the Rfam family "5.8S ribosomal RNA", at positions 35 to 154 of the family's 154-position model. The record is from RNAcentral.